CCUACGGGUGGCAGCAGUGGGGAAUAUUGGACAAUGGGGGCAACCCUGAUCCAGCCAUGCCGCGUGUGUGAAGAAGGCCCUCGGGUUGUAAAGCACUUUCAGUGAGGAAGAACGCCUGGUGGUUAAUACCCAUCAGGAAAGACAUCACUCACAGAAGAAGCACCGGCUAACUCCGUGCCAGCAGCCGCGGUAAUACGGAGGGUGCGAGCGUUAAUCGGAAUUACUGGGCGUAAAGCGCGCGUAGGUGGCUUGAUAAGCCGGUUGUGAAAGCCCCGGGCUCAACCUGGGAACGGCAUCCGGAACUGUCAAGCUAGAGUGCAAGAGAGGAAGGUAGAAUUCCCGGUGUAGCGGUGAAAUGCGUAGAGAUCGGGAGGAAUACCAGUGGCGAAGGCGGCCUUCUGGACUGACACUGACACUGAGGUGCGAAAGCGUGGGUAGCAAACAGGAUUAGAUACCCGUGUAGUC
This 465-nucleotide ribosomal RNA is filed under the name Vreelandella stevensii. RNAcentral's name for it is "partial 16S ribosomal RNA". It matches the Rfam family "Bacterial small subunit ribosomal RNA", at positions 338 to 795 of the family's 1533-position model. Lineage: Bacteria; Pseudomonadati; Pseudomonadota; Gammaproteobacteria; Oceanospirillales; Halomonadaceae. The record is from RNAcentral.